UACGGAGGGUGCAAGCGUUGCUCGGAAUUAUUGGGCGUAAAGCGCACGCAGGCGGCGUGGUAAGUCAGUUGCGAAACUCCCGGGCUUAACUUGGGAACUGCAGCUGAUACUGCCAUGCUUGAGUACGGAAGAGGGGAGUGGAAUUCCCAGUGUAGAGGUGAAAUUCGUAGAUAUUGGGAGGAACACCGGUGGCGAAGGCGGCUCCCUGGUCCGAUACUGACGCUCAUGUGCGAAAGCGUGGGGAGCAAACAGG
This 253-nucleotide ribosomal RNA is filed under the name uncultured bacterium. RNAcentral's name for it is "partial 16S ribosomal RNA". It matches the Rfam family "Bacterial small subunit ribosomal RNA", at positions 524 to 776 of the family's 1533-position model. The record is from RNAcentral.